Molecule: non-coding RNA, 30 nt
Filed under: Macaca fascicularis (crab-eating macaque)
Lineage: Eukaryota; Metazoa; Chordata; Mammalia; Primates; Cercopithecidae
Also listed under: 1 other name
Source: RNAcentral
UACCUGUGCAGGGAAAAUGGAACUUGGGAG